GCUGCCUGAUGCGCUUCUGUAUUAUGACUUGAAAGAUUCGUGCCCAUUUCAUCCGUUGUAAUCUUGGCUGCUUCAUUGAAUAAUAUUUUAGUGUCCGUAAGGCCAACGGAACAUUAAUUGCCAAUAAAUUAGACUACUACCUUUUAUAAAAUUCAAACAGGUAGUUUAGGCAUGGCAUACAAUGUCUAGUUAAUAGACUACAGUGAGGGCUUUAAGAGCAGAUGAGACUUGACAUAGCCGCAUUGACGACGUCUUUAGUAACCUGAUACCU
Molecule: non-coding RNA, 271 nt
Organism: Drosophila ananassae
Lineage: Eukaryota; Metazoa; Arthropoda; Insecta; Diptera; Drosophilidae
Source: Rfam